Molecule: ribosomal RNA, 1107 nt
Filed under: Ectopseudomonas mendocina
Lineage: Bacteria; Pseudomonadati; Pseudomonadota; Gammaproteobacteria; Pseudomonadales; Pseudomonadaceae
Description: bacterial SSU rRNA
Rfam family: Bacterial small subunit ribosomal RNA
Source: RNAcentral
GAGCUUGCUCCUUGAGAUAGCGGCGGACGGGUGAGAAAGGACUAGGAAUCUGCCUGGUAGUGGGGGAUAACGUUCCGAAAGGAACGCUAAUACCGCAUACGUCCUACGGGAGAAAGCAGGGGACCUUCGGGCCUUGCGCUAUCAGAUGAGCCUAGGUCGGAUUAGCUAGUUGGUGAGGUAAUGGCUCACCAAGGCGACGAUCCGUAACUGGUCUGAGAGGAUGAUCAGUCACACUGGAACUGAGACACGGUCCAGACUCCUACGGGAGGCAGCAGUGGGGAAUAUUGGACAAUGGGCGAAAGCCUGAUCCAGCCAUGCCGCGUGUGUGAAGAAGGUCUUCGGAUUGUAAAGCACUUUAAGUUGGGAGGAAGGGCUGUAAAUUAAUACCUUGCUGUUUUGACGUUACCGACAGAAUAAGCACCGGCUAACUUCGUGCCAGCAGCCGCGGUAAUACAAAGGGUGCAAGCGUUAAUCGGAAUUACUGGGCGUAAAGCGCGCGUAGGUGGUUCGUUAAGUUGGAUGUGAAACCCCCGGGCUCAACCUGGGAACUGCAUCCAAAACUGGCUAACUAGAGUACGGUAGAGGGUAGUGGAAUUUCCUGUGUAGCGGUGAAAUGCGUAGAUAUAGGAAGGAACACCAGUGGCGAAGGCGACUACCUGGACUGAUACUGACACUGAGGUGCGAAAGCGUGGGGAGCAAACAGGAUUAGAUACCCUGGUAGUCCACGCCGUAAACGAUGUCAACUAGCCGUUGGAAUCCUUGAGAUUUUAGUGGCGCAACUAACGCAUUAAGUUGACCGCCUGGGGAGUACGGCCGCAAGGUUAAAACUCAAAUGAAUUGACGGGGGCCCGCACAAGCGGUGGAGCAUGUGAUUUAAUUCGAAAGCAACCCGAACAACCCUUACCUGGCCUUGACAUGCUGAGAAGCUUUGCCAGAGAUGGAUGCUGCCUUUCGGGAACUCUAGACCCAGGUGCUGCAUGGCUGUCGUCAGCUCGUGUCGUGAGAAUGGUGGGAUAAGUCCCAGUAACCGAGCGCACUCGUGGUCCUAGGUACCCGGCACGUAAUGCUGGCACCUCUAAUGCAACUGGCGGGUGAACAUCCCGAAGG